This 229-nucleotide long non-coding RNA is filed under the name Vulpes vulpes (red fox). RNAcentral's name for it is "lncRNA (ENSVVUG00000017859.1)". The record is from RNAcentral. Lineage: Eukaryota; Metazoa; Chordata; Mammalia; Carnivora; Canidae.
AAAAUUACUUGGUAUAAGUGUUGGAAGUGAUAAAUGCUAAUUGUUUGAAGAUAAUCAGGGAAAAGCAACAAAACCAGGGAAUAUAGUCGUCUCCUGUACCGUGCUAUUAAGUCUAAGACGUUCCUUGAGGGUAAGAUCUUUAACUUCUUAUCUCUGCUAACAUCUUAUCCCUAACUUCUUAUUCCACAACACAAGCAAGUACCUGGAAAAUAAAUUAAGUAAUGGAAAG